Molecule: small nucleolar RNA, 92 nt
Organism: Alnus glutinosa
Lineage: Eukaryota; Viridiplantae; Streptophyta; Magnoliopsida; Fagales; Betulaceae
Source: RefSeq, a predicted model, not a curated record
UUAUGGGCAGUGAUGUUGAAAAACUACCUAUUUUCUGAGGGAAAAGAUUUCCCUAAUGAUUAGAAGAAACCAAUGGAUCCUCUGAGCCCGCA